CGAUUUUCCAGGUGUGUCCGUCACCCCUUUCUUUGACUGGGAAAGGGAACUCCCUGACCCCUUGCGCUUCCCAGGUGAGGCAAUGCCUCGCCCUGCUUUGGCUCGCGCACAGUGCGCGCACCCACUGGCCUGCGCCCACUGUCUGGCACUCCCUAGUGAGAUGAUCCCGGUACCUCAGAUGGAAAUGCAGAAAUCACCCGUCUUCUGCGUCGCUCACGCUGGGAGCUGUAGACCGGAGCUGUUCCUAUUCGGCCAUCUUGGCUCCUCCCGAUUUUUUAAGCAGAAUUUUUCUUUUCUUAUUGUUGAGUUUUAAGUAUUCUUUGUAUAUUUUGGAGAACAGUCUUUUAACAGAUUUCUUUGUAGUCAAUUAGGACUGCCCAUUAAAGUGGCAGAAUAAGCACAGUGCCUGCUGCUAUGAUGUGAUGGGCCGUGGGAAACACUUUUCGCCUAAAAUCACCUCCUGCAAUGGCCUACUUAAGGCAUUUGAUUCACCUAUGUUAACAAGGGGCUUGUACGUCUCUAUCUUUUGCCAUGGGACAAAGUGCCUUCCUGGAGAAGUUGUUUUUCUCCUAUUGACACCAGGAUUGGCCUAAGGACUUGUGUUGGUCAAGGAAAUAGAUGGAGUUUCACCAUGUAGCCCAGGCUGGUCUUGAACUCCUGGGCUCAAACAAACCACCUGCCUCAGCCUACCAAUGUGCUGGGAUUAUAGGAGUGAGCCACCACACCUGGCGUUAUCUGAGCUUCUUAGUAUGUGCUCCAUCCAUGUAUCAUUCAGAGCUGCAGCUACACUCAUCUACCUGCCACUUCUUGAAACCGGAACCCAGGAGAUCAGAACGUAACUGGAAAGCGUGAAGUGGGACAAUCUGAAAGCAUCCAGAUUCAAUUGUGCGUGAAGGCAAAGAAAAUAACAGCAUGCCCUUUUAAAAUAUUGGUUUGAAGUGAUAUGGAGACACUACUUUGGAGCAUUUUCCUCUUUGCAUUUCCACUCUUGGCACAGUGCUUGGCCCAUGGAGCAGUUUGCUCUCUCCCAUCGAGACCACUUCCUGCAAAAAGCUGGGACCAAGAGGCUGCAGGAGGGCCAGCAGCUCUUAACAGGUUGAGUGAGGGGCUGCCAGGUGAUGAAUGGAUGCAUGUGGAGCAAGGCAGGACUGAUGGAAACUACAGCAUUCUACUUUUCUAUUGGAUUCUGCAUGGACACCAGGAUGAAAAAUGAACAAAUAUUCUCUGCCAUUAUUUCUUGGUUUAGUGUUCACUCUGUGGGGAAACAAACGUGUAUCAGUCACCAUGUCUACCUCCAAGUUAUUUGUAAUAUAAUAAUAGGGGAUUUAUUUUAUAGUGACUCCAAAAUUAUUUAUUGAGCAUCUACUAUGAUCGAGGCAUUUUGCUUGGAAUAAAAUGGUGAACGGCAU
RNAcentral lists this long non-coding RNA (1409 nucleotides) under Homo sapiens (human). RNAcentral describes it as "HSALNT0016731". The record is from RNAcentral. Lineage: Eukaryota; Metazoa; Chordata; Mammalia; Primates; Hominidae.